GGGGGGGGGGGGCGGCGGGGGGGGGGCGGGCGGGGCGGGCGGAGGGGCGCGGCGGGGGGGGGGGGCUCGGGGGGCGGACGGGGGAGUGACACGGGGGUAACCUGCCCUUGACUUUGGGAGAACUUCAGGAAACUGGGGCGAAUACCGGAUAGGAGCUCCUGCUGCAUGGUGGGGGUUGGAAAGUUUCGGCGGUUGGGGAUGGACUCGCGGCUUAUCAGCUUGUUGGUGGGGUAGUGGCUUACCAAGGCUUUGACGGGUAGCCGGCCUGAGAGGGUGACCGGCCACAUUGGGACUGAGAUACGGCCCAGACUCCUACGGGAGGCAGCAGUGGGGAAUAUUGCACAAUGGGCGGAAGCCUGAUGCAGCAACGCCGCGUGCGGGAUGACGGCCUUCGGGUUGUAAACCGCUUUCGCCUGUGACGAAGCGUGAGUGACGGUAAUGGGUAAAGAAGCACCGGCUAACUACGUG
Molecule: ribosomal RNA, 468 nt
Filed under: uncultured bacterium
Lineage: Bacteria
Description: partial 16S ribosomal RNA
Rfam family: Bacterial small subunit ribosomal RNA (bases 49-468)
Source: RNAcentral